RNAcentral lists this ribosomal RNA (1122 nucleotides) under Triticum aestivum (bread wheat). RNAcentral's name for it is "partial small subunit ribosomal RNA". The record is from RNAcentral. Lineage: Eukaryota; Viridiplantae; Streptophyta; Magnoliopsida; Poales; Poaceae.
AUGCGGCUUCAGCGGCAGAUCGGCGGCCUCAUCGACGAAGACCAGUCCGGCUUCUUGUCCGGGCCUAGCAUCUCGGAGAACUUUGUCUACGCGACGGAGAUCGUGCAAUGCUACCACAAGCGAGGAGUGCCCACGUUGGUGUUCAAGCUCGACUUCGCCAAAGCCUUCGACUCUAUUGCAUGGCCCAGCCUUCGCCGCAUCAUGGAGGUGCGGGGGUUCCAGCCCGCUUGGUGCGAUUGGAUGGAUCUCAUCCUUCAAUCCUCUAAGGCAGCGGUGCUGCUCAGUGGGAUCCCGGGGCGCUGGUUCGCGGUCCGCAAGGGGCUUCGGCAGGGCGACCCGAUCUCCCCCUACCUAUUGCUCCUAGUUGCCGACGUGCUGCAACACAUGAUCCGGUCGGAUCGAGCCCUUCGCCAGCCCUUAUGCGAGGGUGCUCCGGCGGUGGUGCUCCAGUAUGCUGAUGAUACACUAAUCAUCAUGCGAGCUACGACGGGGGGCGCGGCUAGGCUGCGCGUCAUCCUCGACCUGUUCGCCGCUGCCACAGGGCUCGUCAUCAACUUCGCCAAAAGCACCCUCGUCCCCAUGCAUGUGGAGCCGGAGGUGAUCGCGGCGGUGGUGGUGACGUUCGGUGCAGCGUUGGCGCCUUCCCGCAGACCUACUUGGGGUUGCCGCUCUCAUGCGACAAGCUCAAGAUCGACGACUUUGCACCGAUGCUGGCUAAGGUGGACCGAUACCUGGCGGGGUGGCGUGCCCGGCUUCUGUCCCCCGCGGGGCGUCUGGUGCUCAUCAACGCGGUCUUGGACUCCCUCCCUACCUAUGCCAUGGCGUCCAUGCGGCUUCCGCCCCGCGGUCCUGGCCAAGCUUGAUGGGUUGCGGCGUGCGUUCCUGUGGAACAUCGCGGCGCGGGCCUCCGGUGCUCAGUGCCUGGUUGCCUGGGACCGGGUCUGCCGUGCCAAGGCCGAAGGGGCUCGGCUUUCGAGCCAUAGGGAUUCAGAACAACUGCCUCCUCCUCAAGCUGCUUCAUCGCCUUCACUCCGGCGUGCCGUCCCGGUGGGCUUCUUGGGUUUGGAGCCUGCUCGACGGGCGGUCUCUCCUGUGCCCCGGCCGCUCCCCGCUCCUGGGUGA